ACUUGUAUGAAUGGUUGGAUGAGAAAAUUACUUUGUUUAUUUAAUUUUUAAUGAAUUUUAUUUUUGAGUCAAAAAGCUCAAAUGUUUUUAUAAGACGAGAAGACCCUAUAGAGUUUAAUAAUAGAUUUAUGGUUAUAAAAAGGAAUAUUUUAUUUUGUAGAUGCUAUUAUUUGGUUGGGGUGACUUUAAAAUUUAAUAAACUUUUAAUUUUUUUGUACUUUAAUUUAUGAUUAUUUGAUCCAAUUAUUUUGAUUAUCAGAACAAAUUACCUUAGGGAUAACAGCGUAAUUUUCUUGGUGAGUUCAUAUCUAUAGGAAAGAUUACGACCUCGAUGUUGGAUUAAAGUUAACUGUUGGCGCAGUAGUUGAUGGGUUGGGUCUGUUCGACCUUUAAAAUUUUACAUGAUCUGAGUUCAAACCGGAG
Molecule: ribosomal RNA, 423 nt
Filed under: Phaenonotum exstriatum
Lineage: Eukaryota; Metazoa; Arthropoda; Insecta; Coleoptera; Hydrophilidae
Description: partial 16S ribosomal RNA
Rfam family: Bacterial large subunit ribosomal RNA (bases 63-423)
Source: RNAcentral